AGCGAACGCUGGCGGCAGGCCUAACACAUGCAAGUCGAACGAAGUCUUCGGAGUUAGUGCCGGACGGGUGGGUAACACGGGGGAACGUGCCUGUUGGUUCGGAAUAACUCAGGGAAACUUGUGCUAAUACAGAAGGUGCUCUUCGGGGGUACGAGUUAUCGCCAUUAGAGCGGCCCGCGUCUGAUUAGCUAGUUGGUGAGGAAACGGCUCACCAAGGCGACGAUCAGUAGCUGGUCGGAGAGGAUGACCAGCCACGCUGGGACUGCGGCACGGCCCAGACUCCUACGCGGAGCAGCAGUGGGGAGUCUUGCGCGCUGGGCGAAAGCCUGACGCCGCCAUGCCGCGGGAAUGAUGAAGGUCUUAGGAUUGUAAAUUUCUUUCACCGGGGGCGAUAAUGACGGUACCCGGAGAAGAAGCCCCGGCUAACUUCGUG
RNAcentral lists this ribosomal RNA (433 nucleotides) under uncultured bacterium. RNAcentral's name for it is "partial 16S ribosomal RNA". It matches the Rfam family "Bacterial small subunit ribosomal RNA", at positions 29 to 507 of the family's 1533-position model. The record is from RNAcentral.